This is a long non-coding RNA of Myotis myotis, 379 nucleotides long. RefSeq lists it as uncharacterized. The transcript is spliced from 3 exons. Lineage: Eukaryota; Metazoa; Chordata; Mammalia; Chiroptera; Vespertilionidae. The record is from RefSeq and is a predicted model, not a curated record.
CAGAGAGCAAACUUCCUGGCUUAAGAGAGGCUGCUGUGUGCUGUGCGCUGAAAGGAGCGAGCAGCCAUCAAUGCAGCCUCCAUAGUCCUGCCCACGCUGCCCAUCAAGAUAACGAGACCAGGGGGAGAGGGGUCAGCAUCGCUUUCAUCGGAGCUGCAUUCAUUUAGCGCUAAUCCCAGCCAUGAGCAGAGCCGUUCCCUUUCCGGACUUAACUGCCUGGACAGCAUCGCCACGCGUGGAGCUUGGAGAAAUCGAAUCUACCGUGAGCCAGAUCCAGAGCCUCAGAGGUGCUCUGCGUCCGACGUACCUGGAGAGAGCGCUGAAUUGUGCAUCUCGAACGAGCCUCCAGGUGGUACUGAGGCCGCUGUCUCCCUGACCA